RNAcentral lists this ribosomal RNA (439 nucleotides) under Blastocystis sp. RNAcentral's name for it is "SSU rRNA". It matches the Rfam family "Eukaryotic small subunit ribosomal RNA", at positions 508 to 953 of the family's 1831-position model. Lineage: Eukaryota; Bigyra; Opalinata; Blastocystidae. The record is from RNAcentral.
AUUGGAUUGAGAACAACGUACAAACCUUAUCGAUAAACAAUUGGAGGGCAAGUCUGGUGCCAGCAGCCGCGGUAAUUCCAGCUCCAAUAGCGUAUAUUAACGUUGUUGCAGUUAAAAAGCUCGUAGUUGAAAUGAAGGGUAGUUGUGUAAUGAAUACAUUCGUGUAUUUUGUUAUUCAACUACCCUCCUUCUAAAUUCGAUAUAUGAGUAUUAAUUUACUUGUAUAUGGUUUUAGACGUUUACUGUGAGAAAAUUAGAGUGUUCAAAGCAGGCAUUUGCUUGAAUAUAUUAGCAUGGAAUAAUCAUGUAUGAUUUUCAUGAUGUAUUUGAUUGGUUUGGUUCAUGAGAAUAAGAUUAAAAGGGACAGUUGGGGGUAUUCAUAUUCAAUAGUCAGAGGUGAAAUUCUCGGAUUUAUGGAAGAUGAACAAGUGCGAAAGCA